RNAcentral lists this transfer RNA (74 nucleotides) under Dulcicalothrix desertica PCC 7102. RNAcentral describes it as "Calothrix desertica PCC 7102 tRNA". It matches the Rfam family "tRNA". Rfam says of the family: Transfer RNA (tRNA) molecules are approximately 80 nucleotides in length. Their secondary structure includes four short double-helical elements and three loops (D, anti-codon, and T loops). The record is from Rfam by way of RNAcentral. RNAcentral also lists the same sequence under 1 other name. Lineage: Bacteria; Bacillati; Cyanobacteriota; Cyanophyceae; Nostocales; Calotrichaceae.
GAGUGCGUAGUGUAACUGAAUAACACGUCAGUCUACGAAACUGAAGAUUCAAGGUUUGAGUCCUUGCGCGCUCA